UGGAGACCUCAUCUUUUAUCUAACCUCUCUUUUUUCCAGUACAGCGUCAUUACCAUGGAGUUUCAUCUAACAAUGCUUGUUCCAUCUGUUUCCAUUUUGUCAUGAAAAUCAAAGGAGGUAGUGGAUGUGAAAUUUUACUGAUUACAUAUAUAGGAUCCAAAUAACAUGCAGUGACAAACCUCCUGCAUAUGGCUGAAUGCUAAGCCACCAGCUACUCCUGCCCUCACAUCUCACAACUUUGCUGCAAGAAAAAACAAAACAGAACAUCUUGGCUAAAACUGCCCACCUCCUUACCCCAAGCUUGAUGCCAGCUGAAGAGUCCCAGGAGACCAGUUGGCUUAGCCCGGGUCAGAGGCCCUGGAUGGGAGUGGAUGAUUGGUAGCCAUCAUUUGCACCUGAUGGUUAGAGUGUGAGAGAAGCAGUCUUCCUGAAGAAGAGAGGUGGUGUCCUCAGAAAAGAGGAAGGGUACAAGGUUGUGAAAGCAAUAAAUGCUCACGCAAAAGAGGGUUGACCCAAGGUCUGGCCUUCUUCUUGCCACUCUCUAGUGAGGGAGCCCUUAGGAAAUUGAUUAUGCUCUCUGUCAAGCGGCAAAAAUAAAACCUGCCCC
RNAcentral lists this long non-coding RNA (607 nucleotides) under Homo sapiens (human). Its description in RNAcentral is "non-protein coding lnc-PRKN-3:3". The record is from RNAcentral. Lineage: Eukaryota; Metazoa; Chordata; Mammalia; Primates; Hominidae.